This is a long non-coding RNA of Lathyrus oleraceus (garden pea), 388 nucleotides long. RefSeq lists it as uncharacterized. The transcript is spliced from 3 exons. The record is from RefSeq and is a predicted model, not a curated record. NCBI's taxonomy places the organism in Eukaryota, Viridiplantae, Streptophyta, Magnoliopsida, Fabales, Fabaceae.
GGCUCAACAAAAGGAAGAAGAUGCUCAACAUACUUCAAUUAUGUUGAAAAUAAUAAUAAUAAUAACAAUGAUGAUCCGGGCAUUCUUAUUCUGCAACUUCUAAUUGACAACAUCAGCAGGCCAGCUCCAAAUAUCACUCACUACUUAAAUUUGAUCUAGAUACACCUGUAGAGCGGACAAUUUUACAGCCUAAAUUUUAUUACAGUUGCAUGAAGGUUAUUCUUGAUAUUCUGGAGAAGCUUUUGAAGCCAGAUGUAAAUGCAUUACUUCAUGAAUUUAGUUUUCAGGUCAACUGUAGUUGAUCUGUUGGGUAACAUAUCUAAAGUAGUUGUUAAAUUUCAGAGAAUUCAUAACUAAGUUUUAUUUGGAAUAUUCUGUUUUUCAUUGA